Molecule: long non-coding RNA, 592 nt
Organism: Pongo pygmaeus (Bornean orangutan)
Lineage: Eukaryota; Metazoa; Chordata; Mammalia; Primates; Hominidae
Exons: 4
Source: RefSeq, a predicted model, not a curated record
GGACAGAAGGUGGCCUUUGCAGACAGCUCUGCGCCUUGACUUUGGUGCCAGCAUUGCAGAGCUGCAGUUUCAAGGCUCUUGCAGAGACUGAUUCCAUCAGAAUGAAGAGAAGUUGAUGGCAUCUGCUGAGCUUCGUAGAGAAAGGCUUUGCAUGGAUGGGAAAUCCUCAGUUCAGCAGCUGACGUCCUAGAAUACUUUGUGGAAACUGGUUAAACUCUCUCAUGUGUUCACAUGAUGCGGCUCGGUUUUAUGAUAUGAAAUGGGCCAGUAAUACAGAUCCUGCUGUGACUGCCUUAUUGAGGGGGCCGAAUAAAAGCGAUCGCAGAUGUGAAUGCAUUUUGAAAGGGAAAAUCUGUGUUUGCAGGUGAAUUUGGAACCAUCUUCAGAAUCAGGCUGCCGUGCCGUCUGUCAGUGUAUUGUAAUUGAGACCUGCAAGGGCUCUUCUCACACCUGGGAACAUCAUGGUGACAUUGCAUCUGCCACCAGCUCCAGCCCCAGGAAGGUAGCAUGUGAGGACAGGUGUGGCUGGUUAUCGUCCUGACGCCUGGUUAAGGCAUAAUAAAAAUCAGAUGCUGUUGGCCUCCCAUCGAAA